This 85-nucleotide ribosomal RNA is filed under the name Disa hallackii. RNAcentral describes it as "partial 25S ribosomal RNA". It matches the Rfam family "Eukaryotic large subunit ribosomal RNA", at positions 1 to 82 of the family's 3401-position model. Lineage: Eukaryota; Viridiplantae; Streptophyta; Magnoliopsida; Asparagales; Orchidaceae. The record is from RNAcentral.
GUGGGACCCCAGGAUGGGCGGGGUGACCCGCUGAGUUUAAGCAUAUCAAUAAGCGGAGGAGAAGAAACUUACGAGGAUUCCCCUA